RNAcentral lists this ribosomal RNA (258 nucleotides) under uncultured bacterium. RNAcentral's name for it is "partial 16S ribosomal RNA". It matches the Rfam family "Bacterial small subunit ribosomal RNA", at positions 524 to 776 of the family's 1533-position model. The record is from RNAcentral.
UACGGAGGGUGCGAGCGUUGUCCGGAAUCAUUGGGCGUAAAGGGCGCGUAGGUGGCCCGGUCAGUCUUUGGUGAAAGCGCGGGGCUCAACCCUGCGUCGGCCAGGGAUACUGCCGCGGCUCGAGCACUGUAGAGGCAGGCGGAAUUCCGGGUGUAGCGGUGGAAUGCGUAGAGAUCCGGAAGAACACCGGUGGCGAAGGCGGCCUGCUGGGCAGUUUGGCUGACAGCUGAGGCGCGACGAGCGUGGGGAGCAAACAGG